CCUACGGGCGGCUGCAGUGGGGAAUAUUGGACAAUGGGGGGAACCCUGAUCCAGCCAUGGCGCGUGUGUGAAGAAGGCCCUCGGGUUGUAAAGCACUUUCAGUGAGGAAGAACGCCUGGUGGUUAAUACCCAUCAGGAAAGACAUCACUCACAGAAGAAGCACCGGCUAACUCCGUGCCAGCAGCCGCGGUAAUACGGAGGGUGCGAGCGUUAAUCGGAAUUACUGGGCGUAAAGCGCGCGUAGGUGGCUUGAUAAGCCGGUUGUGAAAGCCCCGGGCUCAACCUGGGAACGGCAUCCGGAACUGUCAAGCUAGAGUGCAGGAGAGGAAGGUAGAAUUCCCGGUGUAGCGGUGAAAUGCGUAGAGAUCGGGAGGAAUACCAGUGGCGAAGGCGGCCUUCUGGACUGACACUGACACUGAGGUGCGAAAGCGUGGGUAGCAAACAGGAUUAGAUACCCUAGUAGUC
RNAcentral lists this ribosomal RNA (465 nucleotides) under Vreelandella stevensii. Its description in RNAcentral is "partial 16S ribosomal RNA". It matches the Rfam family "Bacterial small subunit ribosomal RNA", at positions 338 to 795 of the family's 1533-position model. The record is from RNAcentral. Lineage: Bacteria; Pseudomonadati; Pseudomonadota; Gammaproteobacteria; Oceanospirillales; Halomonadaceae.